RNAcentral lists this long non-coding RNA (704 nucleotides) under Nicotiana benthamiana. RNAcentral describes it as "long non-coding RNA (NBEN_LNC027897)". The record is from RNAcentral. Lineage: Eukaryota; Viridiplantae; Streptophyta; Magnoliopsida; Solanales; Solanaceae.
UUUAAUCAAUUUCUGAAUAUUUAGUUAAUAUGUGUUUUGCUAUUGCAAUGGUGAUUCAGUCCUCACUACUCAGGGAAGUAAAUGCUUUGUUAUAAUUAAACCAAAUAAUACUAGUAUUGAUGGCUUAUUGCUCUCUUUCAUAGUGGUUAUUUACAAUUCUGUAUAAUUUUUUCAAAUCAAAGUAGUAGGGUAAAUUCAUGCAUGAGUAUAUGAACUAUGAAAUACGAAUCCACACACGUGGUAUUAAUCUCUUUUGAUUUGAAUUACAUGUUUAGUUGUGUAAGAAAGAUUUUUGAUUCUAUGGUUUUAAUCCUAAGAUUAAGCUCAAGAAUCUGAAAUAGAUGUGAAGGUGUUGAUUUUGUGCUAAAACUGCUUUGUGACCAUGAUAGCUACUCAUUUUGGUAAUUACUCUAUUACAUGGAGAAAUCUGAUAUAUGAUUAUUAUUUUGUUGUUACAAUAAAUAAAUUUAUUGGUAGCUUUUGCAGACUCUUGGACCAUGUUAUUGUUUGAUCGAAUUGGACCAAGUUAGGUUUUUAUCUUUUACUUUUGGGAAGAAAUCGAUGACAGAGAGUACUGUUAGGAAGUAUGCUUGCAAUUUAUUUGGAAUUCCAAAAGGGAAGAAAAGUUGAUCUGAAAAAGUAUUUGGGGUCAAGGAAAUUCGGAUUUAGUUUGUGUUGAGAGAAUCGAUUGUUGGCAAUGGAAC